GACGAACGCUGGCGGCGCGCUUAACACAUGCAAGUCGAGCGAGAACCAGGGCUUUGGCCCUGGGGAAAGCGGCGAACGGGUGAGUAACACGUGAGUAACCUGUCCUCGGCACCGGGAUAGCCCGGGGAAACCCGGAUUAAUACCGGAUGGCCUUUCGAGUCUUCGGGCUCGUCAGAAAAGGUAGCUUCGGCCUCCGGCCGAGGAGGGACUCGCGGCGGAUUAGCUUGUUGGUGAGGUAACGGCUCACCAAGGCGACGAUCCGUAGCUGGUCUGAGAGGACGAUCAGCCACACUGGGACUGAGACACGGCCCAGACUCCUACGGGAGGCAGCAGUGGGGAAUUGUUCGCAAUGGCGCAAGCCUGACGACGCAACGCCGCGUGUGUGAAGAAGG
RNAcentral lists this ribosomal RNA (392 nucleotides) under uncultured bacterium. RNAcentral describes it as "bacterial SSU rRNA". It matches the Rfam family "Bacterial small subunit ribosomal RNA", at positions 28 to 414 of the family's 1533-position model. The record is from RNAcentral.